UAAUUUUGCUGUGUAAAUUUAUUUUCCUAUAGGUUUGAGAGUGUUUGCUGUGGUGUGCAAGAGUUCUGCCACUGAUGAGGGCACAGCUGUGUAUUCUCUGAGCAGUUCUGUCAGCUGAGAUGAUGAGAAACCUAAGGCUUCUUGGAGAUUCACCUGGAUAGAAGCUGGGUGCAUUCUUCACACUCCAUCUUUCCAAGUCCAGCUCCCAGUGCCAGGACUCAGGAUGUGGCACCUGAAGGCAAAGUCAGUCUCAUUUCACUCUCACCACACAUGCCUUAUAAACUGCAUCUCCCUCCAGACUCAGGAACCCAGAUAUUUUAGACCAAGACAUUUACAUCGGCAUGGAAAGUUGGAAAGAUCACCUUUUCAGAAUCCAGUUGUUAAUUAAACAACCUUCCAGAAAUGACUAGAGGUCUCUCAGCCUCAGUUUCUCCCUCUGUAAACAUCAGGAAUGAUGAUCUUGAUCCCACAUAGAAUUAUGAUAAUGUGUAGG
Molecule: long non-coding RNA, 493 nt
Filed under: Homo sapiens (human)
Lineage: Eukaryota; Metazoa; Chordata; Mammalia; Primates; Hominidae
Description: HSALNT0206711
Source: RNAcentral